UGAGUAACACGUAUCCAACCUGCCGUCUACUCUUGGACAGCCUUCUGAAAGGAAGAUUAAUACAAGAUGGCAUCAUGAGUCCGCAUGUUCACAUGAUUAAAGGUAUUCCGGUGGACGAUGGGGAUGCGUUCCAUUAGAUAGUAGGCGGGGUAACGGCCCACCUAGUCUUCGAUGGAUAGGGGUUCUGAGAGGAAGGUCCCCCACAUUGGAACUGAGACACGGUCCAA
This 227-nucleotide ribosomal RNA is filed under the name uncultured bacterium. Its description in RNAcentral is "partial 16S ribosomal RNA". It matches the Rfam family "Bacterial small subunit ribosomal RNA", at positions 107 to 334 of the family's 1533-position model. The record is from RNAcentral.